This 119-nucleotide ribosomal RNA is filed under the name Neogale vison (American mink). Lineage: Eukaryota; Metazoa; Chordata; Mammalia; Carnivora; Mustelidae. The record is from RNAcentral.
GUCUAAAGCCAUACCAACCUGAAUGUUCCUGAUCUUGUUUGAUACCAGAAGCUAAGCAGGGUUGGUCCUGAUUCGUACUUGGGUGGGAUACUGCCUGGGAAUACCUGUUGCUAUAGGCU